This 2782-nucleotide long non-coding RNA is filed under the name Panax ginseng (ginseng). RNAcentral's name for it is "long non-coding RNA (PGIN_LNC005481)". The record is from RNAcentral. Lineage: Eukaryota; Viridiplantae; Streptophyta; Magnoliopsida; Apiales; Araliaceae.
UCGCUGUGACGCCGUGACAACUAUAAUCCUUCUAGACAACUAUAAUCCUUCUAGACCUCAUAGCUUGAAAAUGUUCUAAGAUAUCUUCAUUAUCGAUAGUUUCAAAUACAUCAUUUUCAACAUAUUUUUUUCUGAGUUAUAAUUUUGACAAUUUGCCAAGUUUGUUCUGUUAUGUUGUCAUUUUCAUAACCUGUUUGUCUAAACAAAGGUUGAACUUUUCAAGAAACAGGGAGGGCCGAGUCCACAAAAAAAAUACAACCAACAACAGAUUUAACCCCAACUCUUAAGUCCUAAAAGUUAAAUACAUCAGAUUUAACCCCAACAGAGUCCACAACAGAUUUAACUCCAACUCUUAACAGGAAAUUUUUUUAAAAAAAACCCUAAAAAUUAUCAAAAAAAAUACUAAUUAGCUACCUCUCAAGUCCAAUACAACAAAUACAUCAAAUAAAUUGAAUUGGAUUUAACCCCAACUCCUCAAGUUCACAACCAACAACUAAUUUAAACAAAUUACAAAUUUUAAAUUAUCAAAUAAAAAAACCCUAAAUUUGUUGCCUUCUAAAUCUCAUAUGCGCAAAGGGCGAGGGCCGAGAAGAGUAGCCAAGGUCGCAGCUGAGAAAAGCUUGACUCGCGGACCAGUGUUUUGCUUGGCAGCCUUGGCUAAAUAGUGAUUAGUGAAGCAGAAGUGCAGAAGUGUCAAAGAAGCCCCUCUUAUCUAACUCUCUGUGACUCUUAUAAUGAAUUAGAUUAUAAUGGAUUCUUUCUUUUUACCCAUCACAUUUAACUUCCUUAUAAAUCUACCCCUUGAGUUUACUAACUUAUAAAUUUUGCCCCUUAAAUUUACAUAUAAAAAAAAAGUGAGCAUAGACAUGCCUAUGCUACAAACAUGUUUAUGAACAUAUUUUUUUUGUUUCAAAUCAAGGCGUAGGCCUUGUUACGCCUAGAGGCGCAAGGCUACGAGUCAUUCUAGCAGUCGGGUCGUUCGACCCGUUUGAGUCGGGUAAAAUGGACCAAGACCAAAAAUCAAUCAGGCGUUCGCCUCUAUUCUUAACCCUUCACUCUCCUUUCUCUGAGUUCGGGGCGACUCAAUUCAACGUCGGUCUCUUCAUUCUUCUCAGUUACCGGCGGCUCAUUUUGAUCUCUUCAGCAGGUAACCCUUAAUUCCUAGAUGUUUUGCUUCUCAUACAUUCUAGUGUUUGUUUUUAUCUCGGAAUCUGGAAAUGAUCAUCAAAUACAAAUUGGGGGAGUAAGUAGUAUUAUUGACGUCUUGUGUAUGUAUAUUUAUAUAUAUAUAUAUAUAUAUCAAAUUUUCAGGUCAAAAAUUCUUUUUGCAAAUUUUGUAGAAUAACUUGUUCUUGACUAGAUUCCUUUGCCAAGCUUGUAGAAUUUGAUGCCCAGAUCUAAAGAACUCACAUCAGCAGAGCACAUUCUCUUCCAAUUUGGUAUUCACAUUUGGUAUUCAAGCACAAAAAUUUCCUAAUCACGUUGUUAGAAUCUGAAGGGUGCCCUUCGAUCCUCAUAAUAUUAAGGAUCUAAUUUUUUAAAAUAUUAAUGGAAUUAAUGUUAUAUUUGGAACUAAAAUAAUCAGAGAAGAACCAGAAUCAAAUCAUCAUCAAUUCUAAUAAACCCAACAACGAAAAAAAUAGCAGAUUAGGAGAGUGAAAGAGGAAGAAGAAUAAUUACCCAGAUUCACCAUAAACGAAGUCAAUCACAGAAGCAAAUUUUAAAAAAUUAGGGUACAUAAUUUGGGAAUCUUACUCGUGAUUUCAAUAGAAAGUAGCAAAUCGAAAAAAUUGACAGCGAACAAGAGAAUAGCAGCAGCGGCAGAGCAAGCGGAGCAACUGUUUCUCUCUCUAAAUAUUUCUUCUCCCUUCAACUCAACUUUGUUCUCUUUACUCUUUCCACGUUCAGGUAUGCCAUUUAGGGGGCAUUUAGGGAGGGGGCUAAACUUAAUUUCUAUCCAAAACCCCUUCACUUUCCGGGUUUUACAACCUUUCCCAAAAAAUAUUCAACUUCUCAAACAAUUAGUAAUACCCAUCUUAAAACUAAUAUAUUGCUCCAAAAAUUAGUCUCUUGAGGCUUAAAAAAAGGAACCCCGCCUGAUAUGAAUGGAAUGAGCAGAAAGAUUUUAUUCCUUCAAUAAGAAAUAAAGCUCUAAUUCCCAACUUCCACAUGUUUUCAUAGAAAGUGAUAUAUAAUAAGACAUUAUAAACUACAAAUAGGAACACUGAAGCAAACCCAAAGCUACCAAAAUCAGAUUCAAAAUUAACAAAGCCAUUAAAGGUAAUCCAGAAAUGGAAAAGAAUAUCGAUGAGGUGAACAUCACCAACAAAUGAGAUAUUUAUAAAAAAAACAGAAACAAAAUCAAAGUAAAGAAAUUCGUACAUUCAGAUUCUGAGUUUGUACGAAUUAGGCAACGAUUAAAGAAAUUAGGCCACGAGAAAGUAAAGAAAUUCGUGCGCGACCAACGGAACCAGUAGACCAGCAGCCACGACGAGCAACCGCUAGAAAAAGAGGGAUUUUUAAAGAACAAACCCUAGAUUUUCAAAUGCCUGAAAAAAAUAUACAAACCCAAUAAAGUUAUGGAGCUUUACCUUCCGAUUUGUUUGCCUCUGCUUCCGAUGAGCUCUUCCGUCUGCUACUUUAUCGUGUGAGAGAGGGAGGGAAGAAGAUGGAGCAGAGUUUUUAGUCCGUCAGUUUGAUCUGAGCAGAGGUUCUAUUUUGAUUGAAUAUGGGUUUUUGACCCGUUUUUUUGUGACCCGCGCUCCUUUUUUGCUUUGGUCCG